UGGGGAAUAUUGCACAAUGGGCGCAAGCCUGAUGCAGCCAUGCCGCGUGUAUGAAGAAGGCCUUCGGGUUGUAAAGUACUUUCAGCGAGGAGGAAGGCGGUAAGGUUAAUAACCUUAUCGAUUGACGUUACUCGCAGAAGAAGCACCGGCUAACUCCGUGCCCGCAGCCGCGGUAAUACGGAGGGUGCAAGCGUUAAUCGGAAUUACUGGGCGUAAAGCGCACGCAGGCGGUCUGUCAAGUCGGAUGUGAAAUCCCCGGUCUCAACCUGGGAACUGCAUUCGAAACUGGCAGGCUAGAGUCUUGUAGAGGGGGGUAGAAUUCCAGGUGUAGCGGUGAAAUGCGUAGAGAUCUGGAGGAAUACCGGUGGCGAAGGCGGCCCCCUGGACAAAGACUGACGCUCAGGUGCGAAAGCGUGGGGAGCAAACA
RNAcentral lists this ribosomal RNA (427 nucleotides) under uncultured bacterium. RNAcentral describes it as "partial 16S ribosomal RNA". It matches the Rfam family "Bacterial small subunit ribosomal RNA", at positions 355 to 774 of the family's 1533-position model. The record is from RNAcentral.